This 603-nucleotide ribosomal RNA is filed under the name uncultured Tylospora. RNAcentral describes it as "eukaryotic LSU rRNA". The stretch from base 193 to 347 matches the Rfam family "5.8S ribosomal RNA". Lineage: Eukaryota; Fungi; Basidiomycota; Agaricomycetes; Atheliales; Atheliaceae. The record is from RNAcentral.
UCCGUAGGUGAACCUGCGGAAGGAUCAUUAUCGAAUUACGGCCGAGGGUUGUCGCUGGCCUCUCGGGGCAUGUGCACGCCCGAGCCAUCCCCAACAAACGCCGUGGGCCUUCGGGCCCGCGUAUAUUUACUCUGAAUGUGUAUAGAAUGUAAACCAUUUGUUUGCCCUGAAAAAGCAAACGAAAAAUAGUACAACUUUCAACAACGGAUCUCUUGGCUCUCGCAUCGAUGAAGAACGCAGCGAAAUGCGAUAAGUAAUGUGAAUUGCAGAUUUUCAGUGAAUCAUCGAAUCUUUGAACGCACCUUGCGCCCCUUGGUAUUCCGAGGGGCAUGCCUGUUUGAGUGUCAUUAAAUCCUCAACCGCGCCGAUUGAUUUUCGGUGGGGCUUGGACUUUGGAGCGUGCUGGCGAAGGUCGGCUCCUCUUUAAAUGCAUCAGCGGAAGAAACCUUUGUCUUUCCCGCCUUCGGUGUGAUAAUUGUGUUGCGCCGUGGUGGAACUUCAACGAUCCGCUUACAAUGGUCUUCGGACGAAACCUCAUGUCAUCUUGACCUCAAAUCAGGUAGGACUACCCGCUGAACUUAAGCAUAUCAAUAAGCGGAGGAA